RNAcentral lists this ribosomal RNA (254 nucleotides) under uncultured bacterium. Its description in RNAcentral is "partial 16S ribosomal RNA". It matches the Rfam family "Bacterial small subunit ribosomal RNA", at positions 524 to 776 of the family's 1533-position model. The record is from RNAcentral.
UACGUAGGGUGCAAGCGUUGUCCGGAAUUAUUGGGCGUAAAGAGCUCGUAGGCGGUUUGUCGCGUCUGCUGUGAAAACUGGGGGCUCAACCCCCCAGCCUGCAGUGGGUACGGGCAGACUAGAGUGCGGUAGGGGAGAUUGGAAUUCCCGGUGUAGCGGUGAAAUGCGCAGAUAUCGGGAGGAACACCCGUAGCGAAGGCGGCACUCUGGGCCGGAACUGACGCUGAGGAGCGAAAGCGUGGGGAGCAAACAGG